This is an RNA transcript of Cornus florida, 1709 nucleotides long. It is a transcript of the gene named protein FLX-like 1, with no coding region annotated. Lineage: Eukaryota; Viridiplantae; Streptophyta; Magnoliopsida; Cornales; Cornaceae. The record is from RefSeq and is a predicted model, not a curated record. The transcript is spliced from 8 exons.
UACCGUAUAAUUUUGCGUUGUUUUUUAACUCUUAUAUGCGAAGAAUUCAUCCGAGUUUGAAGGAGCGCUCUCUCUCUCUCUGUUUUGAAGCUUCAAGAUUAGAAAGGAAACAUGUCUGGAAGAAAUCGUGGGCCGCCAUUUCCAAUGAAAGGCGUUCCACAUGCUGGACUACCCUCAAUUCAUGAAGCUCCCUUUGGCAGAGGUCUCGGCCCAAUGCCCCACCCUGCACUGCUUGAAGAAAUGAGGGAAUCACAAUUCAGAAUGAGCUCUGGACAACUCCCUCCUCACCCUGCUAUAAUUGAGGAGCGACUUGCAGCUCAGCAUCAGGAUAUUCAAGUGCUUUUGGUUGAUAAUCAGCGACUGGCUGCAACUCACGUGGCACUUAAACAGGAAGUAGAAGCUGUCCAGCAUGAGCUUCAACAAACGGCUCACUUUGCCAGUUCGUUACAUGCGGAGAGGGAUAUGCAGACGAGGGAAAUGUAUGAGAAGUCUGUUAAAAUGGAAAUGGAUAUUCGUGGCGCAGAGGCUAUGAAGGCUGAACUUCAGCAAGUUCAUGCUGAUGUUAAGGAGUUAACUGCCUCUAGGCAAGAGCUUACAGCUCAGGUCCAAGCAAUGACUCAGGAUUUGACCAGAGCUACUGCUGAUUUGCAACAGGUUCCAGCCCUAAAGGCAGAAAUUGACGGUCUGAAACAGGAGCUGCAGCGAGCAAGGGCUGCCAUUGAGUAUGAGAAGAAGGGAUAUGCAGAGAACUAUGAGCAUGGUCAAAUGAUGGAGAAGAACUUGGUCUCAAUGGCACGGGAGUUGGAAAAACUUCGUGCAGAGAUGGCUAAUGCAGAAAAAAGAGCACGUGCUGCUGCAGCUGUUGGGAAUCCGGGUUAUGAUGGAAAUUAUGGCAAUCCUGAAGCUGGAUAUGCAGGAAAUCCUUAUCCUUCCAGUUAUGGCAUGAAUCCAAUGAAUCCUGUACAGGCUGGUGCAGAAAACUUUCCUCAAUAUGGACCUGGACCUGGACCUGGCUCUUGGGGUGCUUAUUCCAUGCAGCAAGCUCAAGGACACAGAUAGACUAGUUGUAAGCAAACCAAGUGCUUUCAAGAACCAACUACUUUUGCCACUGUGCUCCAGUAUUUGAAUUGCACAAGCAGGCAGCCAUACAAAAUUGAUGCAUGAACUGGAACGUGUAAAGCUUUAUUCUAGCCUGGUCUUCCAGAAUUAAUUACCCGGAAUGCAAUCUCUCUCUUUCUUCUUCUUCCUGAAAUUGAAUUGGUAACUGGUUUGUGUGCGCGGAAUGGAUAGCAUGAUGUCUCAUCAAUUUGAUCUGAAGUUCUAUUAUGGAUUACCAUGUUUUUUUUUCUUGUAUGUGCGUGUGCUGGUGUGAAGCUGAUGGUGAGGACUACAAGGUCCAUACCUCUAUUGUUGAAAUGAGGACAAAUUGACUAAUGUAUCCUGGAGUUCACCUUAUGCAGGAAAUGUGGCAAAUUGCUUCCAUAAAUAGAUUUCUCUGAGGGAAUAUAAAGAGGGUAAAAUCUACAAGUUACAUCCAGGGUUCUAAAACUUGAAUUUAGCUUUUAGAAUGUUUGGAAGAGAUUUUUGAUUCGGGUUGUAUUUGGUUUAGUGUGCAGUUGAGCUGAAGGUUGUGGUCGCCAUCAAGGAGUUAACUAUUAUUUAUUUAUUUAUUAUUAUUUUAACUUUAUAUAAUUGAAUUAUUAUUUUUA